AGGACGAACGCUGGCGGCGUGCUUAACACAUGCAAGUCGAGCGGUAAGGCCUUUCGGGGUACACGAGCGGCGAACGGGUGAGUAACACGUGGGUGAUCUGCCCUGCACUCUGGGAUAAGCCUGGGAAACUGGGUCUAAUACCGGAUAUGACCUGCUCUCGCAGUGGGGGUGGGUAGGAAAGUAUUUUAUCGGUGCAGGAGUCGGGCCCGCGGCCUAUCAGUCGUUUGGUUGGUGGGGUAAUCGGCCUAACCGAAGGCGACGGACGGGUAGCCGACCUGAGGAGGGUCGACCCGGCCACGUACGUGGGACUGACGACCACGGCCCAG
Molecule: ribosomal RNA, 326 nt
Filed under: uncultured soil bacterium
Lineage: Bacteria
Description: bacterial SSU rRNA
Rfam family: Bacterial small subunit ribosomal RNA
Source: RNAcentral